This 460-nucleotide ribosomal RNA is filed under the name uncultured bacterium. Its description in RNAcentral is "partial 16S ribosomal RNA". It matches the Rfam family "Bacterial small subunit ribosomal RNA", at positions 338 to 795 of the family's 1533-position model. The record is from RNAcentral.
CCUACGGGAGGCUGCAGUGAGGAAUAUUGGUCAAUGGGCGUAAGCCUGAACCAACCAAGUCGCGUGAGGGAUGAAGGUUCUAUGGAUCGUAAACCUCUUUUAUAAGGGAAUAAGGUGUGGGACGUGUCCUGUUUUGUAUGUACCUCGUGAAUAAGGAUCGGCUAACUCCGUGCCAGCAGCCGCGGUAAUACGGAGGAUCCGAGCGGUAUCCGGGUUUAUUGGGGUUAAAGGGUGCGUAGGCGGCCUGUUAAGGUAGCGGUGAAAGUGUGUGGCUCAAACAGAGGCGUGCCGUUGAAACUGGGAGGCUUGAGUAUGUGUGAGGUAGGCGGAAUGCGUGGUGUAGCGGUGAAAUGCUUAGAUAUCACGCAGAACCCCGAUUGCGAAGGCAGCCUGCCAGGCCAUGACUGACGCUGAGGCACGAAAGCGUGGGGAUCAAACAGGAUUAGAUACCCUAGUAGUC